This 240-nucleotide long non-coding RNA is filed under the name Lathyrus oleraceus (garden pea). RNAcentral's name for it is "Pisum sativum (pea) long non-coding RNA (PSAT_LNC037812)". The record is from RNAcentral. Lineage: Eukaryota; Viridiplantae; Streptophyta; Magnoliopsida; Fabales; Fabaceae.
UCUGAUGCCACUUGAUCAGUCGAAAACAAUAUGGAUUAGUAAGCGCUAAACCUAGAAUGAGAACACGGGAUUGCAAGCACAAAACCUGUCAGAUAAACUAUGGAAUCCACCAAAUAAAGAAAAUAUUGAAUUUUAUUAUAUCAAAAGAUAACCUUGACGGUCACAUUCAAAAGUGUUUAAAUACAGAAAAAGAAAUCCUAAUAGGUUUUUAAUCCAAAAUAGAAAUAAAAUAGAAAAAAG